This 450-nucleotide ribosomal RNA is filed under the name uncultured bacterium. RNAcentral's name for it is "partial 16S ribosomal RNA". It matches the Rfam family "Bacterial small subunit ribosomal RNA", at positions 338 to 795 of the family's 1533-position model. The record is from RNAcentral.
CCUACGGGAGGCAGCAGUGGGGAAUUUUGGACAAUGGGGGCAACCCUGAUCCAGCCAUGCCGCGUGCGGGAAGAAGGCCUUCGGGUUGUAAACCGCUUUUGUCAGGGAAGAAAUCUUCCGAGCUAAUACCUUGGGAGGAUGACGGUACCUGAAGAAUAAGCACCGGCUAACUACGUGCCCGCAGCCGCGGUAAUACGUAGGGUGCAAGCGUUACGCGGAGUUAGCGCAGGCGGUUCGUCAGGAGGCGGGUGAAAUCCCCGGGCUUAACCUGGGAACUGCACUUGUGACUGUACGGCUGGAGUACGGCAGAGGGGGAUGGAAUUCCGCGUGUAGCAGUGAAAUGCGUAGAUAUGCGGAGGAACACCGAUGGCGAAGGCAGUCCCCUGGGCCUGUACUGACGCUCAUGCACGAAAGCGUGGGGAGCAAACAGGAUUAGAUACCCCAGUAGUC